CCCCAGCCCACAGCCUCCUUUCAAAGUGACUUUUCUCUAUUGACCCAAUUCUUACCCCCAGCCCACACCUGGCCUCUCCUCGACCUCUAUCUACCAUCUACAGGUUCCACACCCUGUCUUCUCUAUCUACCAUCUACAGGUUCCACACCCUGUCCUCUCCUCCACCUCUUAUCUACCAUCUACAGGUUCCACACCCUGUCUUCUCUAUCUCCCAUCUAUAGGUUCCACACCCUGUCCUCUAUCUCCCAUCUACAGGUUCCACACCCUGUCUUCUCCUCUAUCUCCCAUCUACAGGUUCCACACCCUGUCCUCUAUCUCCCAUCUACAGGUUCCACACCCUGUCUUCUCCUCUAUCUCCCAUAUACAGGUUCCACACCCUGUCCUCUAUCUCCCAUCUACAGGUUCCACACCCUGUCCUCUCCUCUAUCUCCCAUCUACAGGUUCCACACCCUGUCUUCUCCUCUAUCUCCCAUCUACAGGUUCCACACCCUGUCCUCUAUCUCCCAUCUACAGGUUCCACACCCUGUCCUCUCCUCUAUCUACCAUCUACAGGUUCCACACCCUGUCCUCUCCUCCACCUCUUAUCUACCAUCUACAGGUUCCACACCCUGUCUUCUCUAUCUCCCAUCUAUAGGUUCCACACCCUGUCCUCUAUCUCCCAUCUACAGGUUCCACACCCUGUCCUCUAUCUCCCAUCUACAGGUUCCACACCCUGUCCUCUCCUCUAUCUCCCAUCUACAGGUUCCACACCCUGUCCUCUAUCUCCCAUCUACAGGUUCCACACCGUGUCCUCUCCUCCACCUCUAUCUCCCAUCUACAGGUUCCACACCCUGUCCUCUCCUCUAUCUCGCAUCUACAGGUUCCACACCCUGCCUCUCCUCCACCUCUAUCUACCAUCUACAGGUUCCACACCCUGUCUUCUCUAUCUACCAUCUACAGGUUCCACACCCUGUCUUCUCCUCUAUCUCCCAUCUACAGGUUCCACACCCUGUCUUCUCUAUCUACCAUCUACAGGUUCCACACCCUGUCUUCUCCUCUAUCUCCCAUCUACAGGUUCCACACCCUGUCUUCUCUAUCUCCCAUCUACAGGUUCCACACCCUGUCUUCUCUAUCUACCAUCUACAGGUUCCACACCCUGUCCUCUCCUCUAUCUCCCAUCUACAGGUUCCACACCCUGUCCUCUCCUCUAUCUACCAUCUACAGGUUUCACACCCUGUCCUCUCCUCUAUCUCCCAUCUACAGGUUCCACACCCUGUCUUCUCCUCUAUCUCCCAUCUACAGGUUCCACACCGUGUCCUCUCCUCCACCUCUAUCUACCAUCUACAGGUUCCACACCCUGUCCUCUCCUCUAUCUCCCAUCUACAGGUUCCACACCCUGUCCUAUCCUCUAUCUACCAUCUACAGGUUCCACACCCUGCCUCUCCUCCACCUCUAUCUACCAUCUACAGGUUCCACACCCUGCCUCUCCUCCACCUCUAUCUACCAUCUACAGGUUCCACACCCUGUCCUCUCCUCCACCUCUAUCUCCCAUCUACAGGUUCCACACCCUGUCUUCUCUAUCUCCCAUCUACAGGUUCCACACCGUGUCCUCUCCUCUAUCUCCCAUCUACAGGUUCCACACCCUGCCUCUCUUCUCUCAAAUCUGUGAAUACCCCUGAGAAUACAUCUUUCUUAAUUCACAUUAGUCUGUGA
Molecule: long non-coding RNA, 1692 nt
Organism: Oncorhynchus kisutch (coho salmon)
Lineage: Eukaryota; Metazoa; Chordata; Actinopteri; Salmoniformes; Salmonidae
Source: Ensembl